UUCCGGUUGAUCCUGCCGGAGUUAUUGCUAUUGGAGUCCGAUUUAGCCAUGCUAGUCGUACGGUUUGGACCCGUGGCGACAAGCUCAGUAACACGUGGCCAAACCACCCUACGGAGAGGGAUAACCUCGGGAAACUGAGGCUAAUCCCUCACAAGGCUGCCGAGCUGAAAUGCUGGAAGCUGGAAAUGCUCCGGCGCCAAGAGGUGGCUGCGGACGAUUAGGUAGACGGUGGGGUAACGGCGCACCGUGCCGACAAUCGGUACGGGAUGUGAGAGCAAGAGCCCGGAGACGGUAUCUGAGACAAGAUACCGGGCCCUACGGGGCGCAGGAGGUGCGAAACCUUUAACUGCACGACAGUAUCUGAAGGGGACCCGGUGCCUACGCAUAGAGUCCUCGCUUUACCUUUCGUUGGGGUGCAGCGUAAGAGCUGCCAAGACCGAUGCAGCCGCCGCGGGAUACCGGCAGCUCGAAGUGAUGGCCGCUAUAAUUGCUGCUAAAGA
Molecule: ribosomal RNA, 500 nt
Filed under: uncultured haloarchaeon
Lineage: Archaea; Methanobacteriati; Methanobacteriota; Halobacteria; Halobacteriales; Halobacteriaceae
Description: bacterial SSU rRNA
Rfam family: Archaeal small subunit ribosomal RNA
Source: RNAcentral